Molecule: ribosomal RNA, 447 nt
Filed under: uncultured bacterium
Lineage: Bacteria
Description: partial 16S ribosomal RNA
Rfam family: Bacterial small subunit ribosomal RNA
Source: RNAcentral
GACGAACGCUGGCGGCGUGCCUAACACAUGCAAGUCGAACGAUGCCUUCGGGCAUAGGGGCGCACGUGUGCGUAACGCGUGGUAAUCUGCCCUUGGCUUCGGAAUAACAGUUAGAAAUGACUGCUAAUACCGGAGGGUGUCCCCCUGAGAGAUCGUUGGGACCAAAGAUUUAUCGGCCAGGGAUUAGCCCGCGUAGGAUUAGGUAGUUGGUGGGGUAGAGGGCUACCAAGCCGACGAUCCUUAGCUGGUCUGAGAGGAUGAUAAGCCACACUGGGAAUGCGACCCGGACCAGAACCCUACGGGAGGCAGGAGUGGGGAAUAUUGGACAAUGGGGGGAACCGUGAUAACGCAAUGCCGCGUGAGUGAUGCAGGCCUUAGGGUUGUAAAGCUCUUUUACCAGGGAUGAUAAUGACAGUACCUGGAGAAUAAGCUCCGGCUAACUACGUG